Molecule: long non-coding RNA, 402 nt
Organism: Diceros bicornis minor
Lineage: Eukaryota; Metazoa; Chordata; Mammalia; Perissodactyla; Rhinocerotidae
Exons: 3
Source: RefSeq, a predicted model, not a curated record
CAUUGUAUGUUGGGUGUGUGAGCGCCAGAAAACCUGUCUCUUUAGUCCACACUUCUUCAGAUCAAGCUGCACCCAAGAGACCUCAGUUGCAUCUGGACCUGAUUUGGAUGGUGUGAUUCUGUACCUGAUGCUGUAGUGGGAUAAGACCUUGGGAGCUUUGGAGAGGUCAUCACGAUGUCCUUCCAAGCCAAAAAUCCUGUGAGAUCCUUCCUCCGGAAUAAGAGGCCAUGUCUCCAGCAAGCUUUUCAACAAGAUUUUAACUCUUCCAUGCAGCUGGCAAAAACAUUGAACCAGCAAAUUGAAAACACACAGUGGCAAGGUACGACUGUGGACAAUGCCACUAUUGAGAUGGUUUCCGUGAUUCAAUGGGAGUGAUGGGAUUCUGGAGCAGCAGGGGCCAAG